UACGUAGGGGGCCAGCGUUGUCCGGAAUCAUUGGGCGUAAAGCGCGCGUAGGCGGUCAGGUAAGUCCGGUGUGAAAGUCAAAGGCUCAACCUUUGAAUGCCGCUGGAUACUGCCUGACUUGAGUCCGGAAGGGGCGAGUGGAAUUCCUGGUGUAGCGGUGAAAUGCGCAGAUAUCAGGAGGAACACCUAUUGCGAAGGCAGCUCGCUGGGACGUUACUGACGCUGAGACGCGAAAGCGUGGGGAGCAAACAGG
This 253-nucleotide ribosomal RNA is filed under the name uncultured bacterium. Its description in RNAcentral is "partial 16S ribosomal RNA". It matches the Rfam family "Bacterial small subunit ribosomal RNA", at positions 524 to 776 of the family's 1533-position model. The record is from RNAcentral.